This 348-nucleotide unclassified non-coding RNA is filed under the name Hevea brasiliensis (rubber tree). The record is from RNAcentral. Lineage: Eukaryota; Viridiplantae; Streptophyta; Magnoliopsida; Malpighiales; Euphorbiaceae.
GACUUGAGAAGCAAAGGAAAUGUGUGGUUAUCCGGAUCGACGCCAUUUCGGCGCAUUCUCGUAUAGAAAUCAAGAGACAUUACAGGUUGGGCGCUGACAGAGAAGCCUCCGAUAAUGGUAUUCCAUAGGUAGAUUCUGGUUGUUUCCAUGUGGUGGAAGAGGAGUGAAGCGUAGAGGAGAUGGCAGCCAUGAUUGAGAGUGAUGGAAUGGAGAAGUUUGGUAAAGAAGAAGGUGUCCCGUAAGAGACCACGAGUGAUGAGGAAUGAGUGAAUUUGCUUAAGAUGGUUUAAGCUUUUGUAACUAUUUAGUAAUAUGGUGAGCUCCCUGCUUGCAGACAUUCAUUCUCCC